This 739-nucleotide unclassified non-coding RNA is filed under the name Garuga floribunda. RNAcentral's name for it is "partial contains small subunit ribosomal RNA, internal transcribed spacer 1, 5.8S ribosomal RNA, internal transcribed spacer 2, and large subunit ribosomal RNA". The stretch from base 321 to 476 matches the Rfam family "5.8S ribosomal RNA". Lineage: Eukaryota; Viridiplantae; Streptophyta; Magnoliopsida; Sapindales; Burseraceae. The record is from RNAcentral.
AUUUAGAGGAAGGAGAAGUCGUAACAAGGUUUCCGUAGGUGAACCUGCGGAAGGAUCAUUGUCGAAACCUGCCCAGCAGAACGACCCGCGAACGAGUGAUGCAAAACACAGGAGGGGGAUGCGCGAGCAGACCCCGCCUGCCGCGUCGCGGGGGUGAGGAUGGGUGCCUCGUCCGCGAGCGUCCGCCCGAACCCCCUGCAGCGCAACAACGAACUCCGGCGCGGAUUGCGCCAAGGAAACUCGAACGAGAGAGCUCGCUCCCGCAGCCCCGGAAACGGUGCGCGUGCGGGCAGCGGCGCCUUCUUUCACUAAACCAAAACGACUCUCGGCAACGGAUAUCUAGGCUCUCGCAUCGAUGAAGAACGUAGCGAAAUGCGAUACUUGGUGUGAAUUGCAGAAUCCCGUGAACCAUCGAGUCUUUGAACGCAAGUUGCGCCCCAAGCCUUUAGGCCGAGGGCACGUCUGCCUGGGUGUCACGCAUCGUUGCUCCCCCCCAACCCCCCCAACACGGGGAUGCUGCGGGCGGGGGCGGAAGCUGGCCUCCCGUGCGCCUCACGGCUCGCGGCUGGCCCAAAUCCGAGUCCUCGGCGACGCGAGCCGCGACUUUCGGUGGUCGUAACGAACCUCGAUGUCCCGUCGCGCCCGCGUCGUUGCAAGGACGGACUCCGUGACCCUUAGCGUGCUGCUGAUCCAGCGGCGCUCGCAUCGCGACCCCAGGUCAGGCGGGAUUACCCGCUGA